Molecule: ribosomal RNA, 1620 nt
Filed under: Triticum aestivum (bread wheat)
Lineage: Eukaryota; Viridiplantae; Streptophyta; Magnoliopsida; Poales; Poaceae
Description: partial small subunit ribosomal RNA
Source: RNAcentral
AUGGCGUCUCUCUACCACUCCUCCCUCCCGCUCUCCCCGCCGUCCUCCAGCUGCCAUGGUGUCCUCUCCUUGGCCCCUCGAACCGCGGCGCCCUUCGUCUGCCUCUGCAGAGCGCCACCGCAAGACGACCACGACGCGGAGCUCCUCGGCGCGCUCCAGUCCAACGGCAACGGCAGCCUCCUCAGAGAACAACAUCCCGCGUCAGCCAAAGUUCUAGAGUCGGGCUCUGCGGAAUUGGGUGACGGCAGCGGCGGCGGGAGGAGGAGCUCUCAGGCUCAGCUCCGGGCGCGUGACUGCGCGAGGCGGAUCAUGAGCCUCCCCAUGGAGGAGCGGGUGAAGGUGCUCGACCUCCUGCAGCGCGACGACACGGCGCUCACCAUCUCCGACUACAACGACAUCAUCUCCGCGCUCGCGAGGGGCGGGGACUACGACUCCGCGGUCGCGCUCUUCAGGGCGCUCGAGCCCAACGGCGUCGUUGAGCCGGACGCCCACUCUUUCGCCAUCGCCGUGCAGUGCUUCUGCAGGAAGGGCGCGCCCGACGAGGCAAAGGAGACGCUCGACGAGAUGGUGGCUCGCGGUUACCUCCCCAGUGUGGCCGCCUUCUCCGCCGUCGUGGGCUGCCUCUGCAAACGUGGACGCGUCACCAGGGCCAUGGAUGUGUUCGACACCAUGCGUGCCGUCGGGAGCGAGCCCACCAUCCGCACGUACAACAGCCUCAUCGGCGGGCUCUGCUACGUCGGCCGCCUCGAGGAGGCGCGGGACCUCCUCAACAAGCUCAAGGACUCGCCCAAGCAAACGGCGGACAUCUACACCUUCACCAUUGUGCUGGACGGGUUCUGCAAGGUAGGCAGGACGGAGGACGCCAUGGCCAUCUUCGAAGAUGCCAUCCGGAUGGGCCUCUCGCCCACGAUUUUCACCUACAACGCGCUGCUCAACGGCCACUGCAAGGAGGGGAACCUGCUGAAAGCGUAUGACCUGCUCAUGGAGAUGUGCGACAACGACGACUGCCCGCCGGACAAGAUCAGCUUCAGCAUUGUGCUGCCGGCGUUGCUGCGGGCAGGCGAGAUCACCGCGGCGUGGAAGACGUUCAAACGCAUGGAGCACGCCGGGUUCCAGGCGGACAGCCGCGCGUUGGACACGCUGGCCCGGGGCCUAUGCCGGCAGUGUGCGGCGGACAUAUCGGUCCUGAGGGACGCCAAGGAGGUGUUCGGCAAGGUGGUGGCGGCCGGGCACGAGCCGGUGUCGUACACGUACUGCCUGAUGGCGCAGGCCCUGGCGCGCGGCGGCGAGGUGGACGCGGCCGUGGCCAUACUGGACGACAUGGUGCGCAAGGGGUACGCGCUGCGGAAGCGCGCGUACACGGACGUGGUGCGCGCGCUGUGCGACCGGAGCAGGACGCACGACGCUCUCCGGGUGCUGGCGGCGGUGAUCACCAAGGACUUCGUGCCCGGCCGGAACGCGUUCGACGCGCUGCUCGAAGAGCUCAGCCGGCAGGGGAGGUGGCCCGACGCCAUGGCCGUGUACGCCGCUGCGGUGAAGCGGGGCGUGGUGGUGUCGCUGAAGCGUCACGUCAAGGAGGCGCUGGCACGGGAAUCGCCGGCGCGGUUGGGUGUCCCAUAG